Gasterosteus aculeatus aculeatus (three-spined stickleback) is the source of this 719-nucleotide non-coding RNA. NCBI's taxonomy places the organism in Eukaryota, Metazoa, Chordata, Actinopteri, Perciformes, Gasterosteidae. The record is from RefSeq and is a predicted model, not a curated record.
UAUCUAGACUCUGCCGGCUGCCCCGCCCCUCUCGAGCUGGAGGCCUUCUGCCAGCGGCAGACACAUACACAAAAGGUUCCAGGAAGACUGUCAGUUAUUUAUCAGAAAUGCAUUGCAAAGGAUCCCUUUUAUCUUUCCUCCAAAGAGGAAACAGACACGAUGGAAUUAUUCACUGAUAAAGUGCCUUUCAUCCGGAGUGAGGGCUGACAUUCAUGCUGGAUCAUUUGAAGAGAAAAGGAGAAACAGAAAUGGCGCUCAACACUGCAGCACAGCCUAAGAACAAAGACAUCAGACAGCACAGACGCAGUCGUGGGAGCUACAUGCGAGUGGUGCACGGCUGGGAAUUGUAGGUGGAUAAAAGCGGAAAGCAAAAGAUUUGAGAAGUCAAGGUCAGCUAACCGAGUGCAUCGGUUUGUAGCUGCACGGCGCCACUCUCUGGUGAAACUGUUGCUUUGUUGCUCAUAGUGUGAACAUCGCACGGGUGCGCCUCCGCUUUACCCCUGUGAUGCUGCUGAGCUGUGAUGUCAUAUCGUAUGGAGGAGGAAUCAACUGGGAGGACUCGUAGUUCUUGCUUUCACGCUCAAAUCAACAACUUCUGCCUUGAAUGUUGUUUUUGUUUGCCAGGAGCCCAUUAGCUGCCCCCCACACCGAACAUACCUCCGAUGCCUUGCGGACAUCCUGAAGGGCAGCGGGGUCCAAGAAACCCCCGUGGACGCCGG